This 468-nucleotide ribosomal RNA is filed under the name Erythrobacter sp. 6Bf4S111. RNAcentral's name for it is "bacterial SSU rRNA". It matches the Rfam family "Bacterial small subunit ribosomal RNA", at positions 380 to 865 of the family's 1533-position model. The record is from RNAcentral. Lineage: Bacteria; Pseudomonadati; Pseudomonadota; Alphaproteobacteria; Sphingomonadales; Erythrobacteraceae.
AGCCUGAUCCAGCAAUGCCGCGUGAGUGAUGAAGGCCUUAGGGUUGUAAAGCUCUUUUACCAGGGAUGAUAAUGACAGUACCUGGAGAAUAAGCUCCGGCUAACUCCGUGCCAGCAGCCGCGGUAAUACGGAGGGAGCUAGCGUUGUUCGGAAUUACUGGGCGUAAAGCGCGCGUAGGCGGCUAUCCAAGUCAGGGGUGAAAUCCCGGGGCUCAACCCCGGAACUGCCCUUGAAACUAGGUAGCUAGAAUACUGGAGAGGUGAGUGGAAUUCCGAGUGUAGAGGUGAAAUUCGUAGAUAUUCGGAAGAACACCAGUGGCGAAGGCGACUCACUGGACAGUUAUUGACGCUGAGGUGCGAAAGCGUGGGGAGCAAACAGGAUUAGAUAUCCUGGUAGUCCACGCCGUAAACGAUGAUAACUAGCUGUCCGGGCUCAUAGAGCUUGGGUGGCGCAGCUAACGCAUUAAGU